Bradysia coprophila is the source of this 816-nucleotide long non-coding RNA. RefSeq lists it as uncharacterized. Lineage: Eukaryota; Metazoa; Arthropoda; Insecta; Diptera; Sciaridae. The record is from RefSeq and is a predicted model, not a curated record.
GUCUGUCGAACUGAUAGUGGUUUUGUUUGCCGAAGAUUAGAAUAUUAAAUGAUCGUUCAUUAUGAAAGAAUCGAAAAUCAUUUACAAACGAGCAGUAAGAACCAGUUUGUCGACGAGUCAACAUCAUUCUUAAACAACAUACUAAGCCUUGACUGUUCCUCAUCACCUCGCCAUAAUGCAAAUCACAUAUUUGUUUUCUGGGCUUCUAUCUCUACUCGUCGUUUCGAAUCUGUCGCCAGCAGAAGCGGUGUGUCAAUGGACGGGAUGUGGAAAAUCAUGUCCCAGCGGAGUUAAGACAUUAAUUCGAACUAGAGACGGCUGUGGUGGCCUUGACGAGAAAUCAAAAUGCUGCUUUGAUCACCCAGUUCAUUGUCAGGUUACGGGAUGUGGCCAAGAAUGUCCAAGUGGUGUGAAAACUUUAGCCGUGACUAACGAAGGAUGUGGCGGCUUCGACACAAGAUCAAUGUGUUGCAUAAACCAACCGGCCACGUGUGAAUGGAGUGGCUGUGGAUAUAGUUGUCCCAGCGGAACGAUUACGUUAGCCAAAUCGGGUAAGGAGUGCAGCGGUUUUGACAUAAAGUCUUAUUGCUGUAAGAGCGGUGCGUACAGUUGUGAUUUUGGUGGUUGUGGAAGUAGCUGUCCAUCUGGUACGACAUUUUUAGCUGAAACAAAGUGUAGCGGUUUUGAUACGAAGAAAGCGUGCUGCCUGCCGCAAAGAACUGUGGGCUUUAUUGUUGGUUAGUAGAAACCGGAGCUGUUUUCAAUCACAUAGAGAAACGUAAAAAAUAAAGGCAAUUUGCAACACCUUUGAGGAUA